AUGAGCCAAUCAAUGACCGAGUCGAUGUUUGUUGAGAGUUUAGUACUGUAUAUAAAGGAUCAGGCUUGAGCUGAGAGUGUGCCAAUCUUUUUGGUAGAAUUCAAUGAUUUUAUCAUUGAACACAAACGGAAUGCAAAAUCGGUCUACUUUCUAAUAUUAAUAACUUUCGAGUGGUAAGAUCUGUCCCAUGAUGCCUAAUUUAAUAUAUGCAUAUUAGCUAAGAAAAUAGCAUAUUUCCAUAUUUGAGGCCUAAAUCUUGAUAUUAAUGAAAUGGUAGGUUCAUCAGAUUGCAAAGCAUUUAAGACUACAGGGUGUGGAGGGGCUUGGGUUGGGGGCAUUGCUCGACACGUGGCGAGGGUGGGAUCCACAAGCUAAUACUCAAAAACUA
This 388-nucleotide long non-coding RNA is filed under the name Helianthus annuus (common sunflower). Its description in RNAcentral is "sRNA HanXRQr2_Chr15g0682611". Lineage: Eukaryota; Viridiplantae; Streptophyta; Magnoliopsida; Asterales; Asteraceae. The record is from RNAcentral.